CAUGCACGCCGGUCAGCGAGGUUUCGCCCACCGGCGUUUUUUG
Novosphingobium sp. AP12 is the source of this 43-nucleotide non-coding RNA. The record is from Rfam. Lineage: Bacteria; Pseudomonadati; Pseudomonadota; Alphaproteobacteria; Sphingomonadales; Sphingomonadaceae.